Molecule: ribosomal RNA, 469 nt
Filed under: Enterobacteriaceae bacterium
Lineage: Bacteria; Pseudomonadati; Pseudomonadota; Gammaproteobacteria; Enterobacterales; Enterobacteriaceae
Description: bacterial SSU rRNA
Rfam family: Bacterial small subunit ribosomal RNA
Source: RNAcentral
CAUGCAAGUCGAGCGGAUGAAAGGAGCUUGCUCCUGGAUUCAGCGGCGGACGGGUGAGUAAUGCCUAGGAAUCUGCCUGGUAGUGGGGGACAACGUUUCGAAAGGAACGCUAAUACCGCAUACGUCCUACGGGAGAAAGCAGGGGACCUUCGGGCCUUGCGCUAUCAGAUGAGCCUAGGUCGGAUUAGCUAGUUGGUGAGGUAAUGGCUCACCAAGGCGACGAUCCGUAACUGGUCUGAGAGGAUGAUCAGUCACACUGGAACUGAGACACGGUCCAGACUCCUACGGGAGGCAGCAGUGGGGAAUAUUGGACAAUGGGCGAAAGCCUGAUCCAGCCAUGCCGCGUGUGUGAAGAAGGUCUUCGGAUUGUAAAGCACUUUAAGUUGGGAGGAAGGGUUGUAGAUUAAUACUCUGCAAUUUUGACGUUACCGACAGAAUAAGCACCGGCUAACUCUGUGCCAGCANCCGG